RNAcentral lists this ribosomal RNA (497 nucleotides) under uncultured bacterium. RNAcentral describes it as "partial 16S ribosomal RNA". It matches the Rfam family "Bacterial small subunit ribosomal RNA", at positions 28 to 507 of the family's 1533-position model. The record is from RNAcentral.
GAUGAACGCUGGCGGCGUGCCUAAUACAUGCAAGUCGAGCGCACAGACGAGAAGCUUGCUCCUCUGAUGUUAGCGGCGGACGGGUGAGUAACACGUGGAUAAUCUACCUUUAAGACUGGGAUAACUUCGGGAAACCGGAGCUAAUACCGCAUAAUAUCUUGAACCGCAUGGUUCAAUAGUGAAAGACGGUCUUGCUGUCACUUAUAGAUGGAUCCGCGCUGCUUUAGCUAGUUGGUAAGGUAACGGCUUACCAAGUCAACAAUGAGUAGCCGACCUGAGAGGGGGAUCGGCCACUCGGGAACGGGGACAGGGUCCAGACUCCUAGGGGAGGCAGAAGAAGGAAAUUUUCGGCAUGGGGGGAAAGCCUAGCGGAGCAAGGCCGCGUAGGUGAUGAAGUUCUUCGGUUCGGAAAACUCUGUUAUUAGGGAAAAACAUAUGUGUAAGGAAAUGCGCACAUCUUGACGGUACCUAAUCAGAAAGCCACGGCUAACUACGUG